UCAGGAUGAACGCUGGCGGCGUGCUUAACACAUGCAAGUCGAACGAAGCACUUUCUUACGAUCCCUUCGGGGUGACGAGUUUGUGACUGAGUGGCGGACGGGUGAGUAACGCGUGGGUAACCUGCCUUAUACAGGGGGAUAACAGUUGGAAACGGCUGCUAAUACCGCAUAAGCGCACAGUAUCGCAUGAUACAGUGUGAAAAACUCCGGUGGUAUAAGAUGGACCCGCGUCUGAUUAGCUAGUUGGUGAGGUAACGGCUCACCAAGGCGACGAUCAGUAGCCGAUCUGAGAGGAUGAACGGCCACAUUGGGACUGAGACACGGCCCAGACUCCUACGGGAGGCAGCAGUGGGGAAUAUUGCACAAUGGGCGAAAGCCUGAUGCAGCGACGCCGCGUGAGCGAUGAAGUAUUUCGGUAUGUAAAGCUCUAUCAGCAGGGAAGAUAAUGACGGUACCUGACUAAGAAGCACCGGCUAAAUACGUGCCAGCAGCCGCGGUAAUACGUAUGGUGCAAGCGUUAUCCGGAUUUACUGGGUGUAAAGGGAGCGUAGGCGGUCUUGCAAGUCUGAUGUGAAAGCCCGGGGCUCAACCGCGGGAUUGCAUUGGAAACUGUAGGACUUGAGUAUCGGAGAGGUAAGUGGAAUUCCUAGUGUAGCGGUGAAAUGCGUAGAUAUUAGGAGGAACACCAGUGGCGAAGGCGGC
This 702-nucleotide ribosomal RNA is filed under the name Lachnospiraceae bacterium RM59. RNAcentral's name for it is "bacterial SSU rRNA". It matches the Rfam family "Bacterial small subunit ribosomal RNA", at positions 24 to 725 of the family's 1533-position model. Lineage: Bacteria; Bacillati; Bacillota; Clostridia; Lachnospirales; Lachnospiraceae. The record is from RNAcentral.